AGAGUUUGAUCCUGGCUCAGGACGAACGCUGGCGGCGUGCCUAACACAUGCAAGUCGAACGAAGCUUUUAUGGAAUGCGACUUCGGUCAAAUGAAGUUUAAGCUUAGUGGCGGACGGGUGAGUAACGCGUGAGCAACCUGCCUUUCAGAGGGGGAUAACGUUUGGAAACGAACGCUAAUACCGCAUAACAUUGUUUUACCGCAUGAUAGAACAAUCAAAGGAGCAAUCCGCUGAAAGAUGGGCUCGCGUCCGAUUAGAUAGUUGGUGGGGUAACGGCCUACCAAGUCGACGAUCGGUAGCCGGACUGAGAGGUUGAUCGGCCACAUUGGGACUGAGACACGGCCCAGACUCCUACGGGAGGCAGCAGUGGGGGAUAUUGCACAAUGGGCGAAAGCCUGAUGCAGCAACGCCGCGUGAGGGAAGACGGUCUUCGGAUUGUAAACCCCUGUCAUGUGGGAGCAAGGCGCAAGCUUGAUAGUACCACAAGAGGAAGGGACGGCAAACUCUGUGCCAGCAGCCGCGGUAAUACAGAGGUCCCAAGCGUUGUUCGGAAUCACUGGGCGUAAAGGGUACGUAGGCGGCGGAAUAAGUCGUGCGUGAAAGGCAGGGGCUCAACCUCUGGAGUGCGCAUGAUACUGUUCUGCUGGAGUGAUGGAGGGGGAACCGGAAUUCUUGGUGUAGCAGUGAAAUGCGUAGAUAUCAAGAAGAAGACUCGUGGCGAAGGCGGGUUCCUGGACAUUCACUGACGCUGAGGUACGAAGGCCGGGGUAGCGAAAGGGAUUAGAUACCCCUGUAGUCCCGGCAGUAAACGGUGCAUGCUUGGUGUGCGGGGAAUCGACCCCCUGCGUGCCGGAGUUAACACGUUAAGCAUGCCGCCUGGGGAGUACGGUCGCAAGAUUAAAACUCAAAGAAAUUGACGGGGACCCGCACAAGCGGUGGAGUAUGUGGCUUAAUUCGAUGCAACGCGAAGAACCUUACCAAGGCUUGACAUCCUGUGACCGCUCAUGAAAGUGAGUUUUUUCUUAGGAAACACAGAGACAGGUGCUGCAUGGCCGUCGUCAGCUCGUGUCGUGAGAUGUUUGGUUAAGUCCAGCAACGAGCGCAACCUCUGCUGCCAGUUACCAGCGAUUCGGUCGGGGACUCUGGCGGGACUGCCCAGAUCAACUGGGAGGAAGGUGGGGACGACGUCAGGUCAGUAUGGCCCUUAUGCCUUGGGCUGCACACGUACUACAAUGCCCAGCACAGAGGGAAGCCAACCCGCGAGGGUGAGCGGAUCCGCAAAGUUGGGCCCAGUUCGGAUUGGAGGCUGCAACCCGCCUCCAUGAAGCCGGAAUCGCUAGUAAUGGCGCAUCAGCUACGGCGCCGUGAAUACGUUCCCGGGUCUUGCACUCACCGCCCGUCA
RNAcentral lists this ribosomal RNA (1402 nucleotides) under uncultured bacterium. Its description in RNAcentral is "bacterial SSU rRNA". It matches the Rfam family "Bacterial small subunit ribosomal RNA". The record is from RNAcentral.